UUAACUUAAAUUUAUAUGGAAUUGGCACGGCUACCUACGUUUGCCGCUAGGGGCGCUAUUCCAACUACAUACAAAAUCAGAGUUA
Molecule: microRNA precursor, 85 nt
Filed under: Bombyx mori (domestic silkworm)
Lineage: Eukaryota; Metazoa; Arthropoda; Insecta; Lepidoptera; Bombycidae
Description: mir-2807 microRNA precursor family
Rfam family: mir-2807 microRNA precursor family
Source: Rfam by way of RNAcentral